This 380-nucleotide ribosomal RNA is filed under the name uncultured bacterium. RNAcentral describes it as "bacterial SSU rRNA". It matches the Rfam family "Bacterial small subunit ribosomal RNA", at positions 790 to 1167 of the family's 1533-position model. The record is from RNAcentral.
GUAGUCCACGCUGUAAACGAUGGGUGCUAGAUGUCGGGGGGUUACCUCUCGGUGUCGCAGCUAACGCAUUAAGCACCCCGCCUGGGGAGUACGGUCGCAAGAUUAAAACUCAAAGAAAUUGACGGGGACCCGCACAAGCGGUGGAGUAUGUGGUUUAAUUCGAAGCUACGCGCAAAACCUUACCAGGCCUUGACAUGGAUCGUAUGAGUCUAAGAGAUUAGAUUCUUCACUUCGGGUGGCGAUCACACAGGUGCUGCAUGGCUGUCGUCAGCUCGUGUCGUGAGAUGUUGGGUUAAGUCCCGCAACGAGCGCAACCCUUGGUUCUAGUUGCUAACAGGUUUGGCUGAGCACUUUAGAAUAACUGCCGGUGACAAGCCGGA